RNAcentral lists this transfer RNA (104 nucleotides) under Ephemerocybe angulata. Its description in RNAcentral is "Coprinellus angulatus tRNA". It matches the Rfam family "tRNA". From Rfam's summary of the family: Transfer RNA (tRNA) molecules are approximately 80 nucleotides in length. Lineage: Eukaryota; Fungi; Basidiomycota; Agaricomycetes; Agaricales; Psathyrellaceae. The record is from Rfam by way of RNAcentral.
GGCAAUAUGGCCGAGCGGUCUAAGGCGCUAGAAUCAGGUGACGUGCUCAGGCACUGACACUAAUCUAGUCCGAAAGGGCGAGGGUUCGAAUCCCUCUGUUGUCA